ACAAAAACAUGGCCUUUAGGGAAGAAUUUAAGGUCGGGCCUGCCCACUGAAAUAGUUGAAGGGCCGCGGUAUUUUGACCGUGCAAAGGUAGCAUAAUCAUUAGUCUUUUAAUUGAGGGCUGGAAUGAAUGGUUUGACGAAAUAUUGACUGUCUCUUUAUAAUAAAUAGAAUUUAACUUUUGAGUCAAAAGGCUUAAAUGAAUGUAAAAGACGAGAAGACCCUAUAGAUCUUUAUAUAGUUCUAUAAUUGCUUUAUUUAGUUGUUUUAUUUACAAUUAUUUAACUAUAUUUUGUUGGGGUGACAUGAAGAUAAAAAUAACUCUUUAUAAUAAGAACAUUGAUUUAUGGAUGAUUGAUCCGUUAUUAACGAUUAUAAGAUAAAGUUACCUUAGGGAUAACAGCGUAAUUUUUUUUGAGAGUUCUUAUCGACAAAAAAGAUUGCGACCUCGAUGUUGGAUUAAGGAAUAUGAUUAGGUGUAGCAGUUUAAUUAAUAAGUCUGUUCGACUUUUAAAUCCUUACGUCAUCUGAGU
RNAcentral lists this ribosomal RNA (530 nucleotides) under Anterastes burri. RNAcentral describes it as "partial 16S ribosomal RNA". It matches the Rfam family "Bacterial large subunit ribosomal RNA", at positions 1807 to 2610 of the family's 2925-position model. Lineage: Eukaryota; Metazoa; Arthropoda; Insecta; Orthoptera; Tettigoniidae. The record is from RNAcentral.